GACGUAGGGCGCGAGCGUUGUCCGGAUUUACUGGGCGUAAAGGGCGCGUAGGCGGCCACCGCAAGUCAGUUGUGAAAUCUCUGGGCUUAACCCAGAACGGUCAGCUGAUACUGCGGGGCUAGAGUGCAGAAGGGGCAACUGGAAUUCUCGGUGGAGCGGUGAAAUGCGUAGAGAUCCGGAGGAACACCGACGGCGUAGGCAGCGCCCUGGACGACACCUGACGCUGAGGCACGAAAGCUGGGGGAGCGAACAGG
RNAcentral lists this ribosomal RNA (254 nucleotides) under uncultured bacterium. Its description in RNAcentral is "partial 16S ribosomal RNA". It matches the Rfam family "Bacterial small subunit ribosomal RNA", at positions 524 to 776 of the family's 1533-position model. The record is from RNAcentral.